RNAcentral lists this ribosomal RNA (356 nucleotides) under uncultured Desulfobulbus sp. RNAcentral describes it as "bacterial SSU rRNA". It matches the Rfam family "Bacterial small subunit ribosomal RNA", at positions 1028 to 1382 of the family's 1533-position model. The record is from RNAcentral. Lineage: Bacteria; Pseudomonadati; Thermodesulfobacteriota; Desulfobulbia; Desulfobulbales; Desulfobulbaceae.
CUGGAGACAGGUGCUGCAUGGCUGUCGUCAGCUCGUGUCGUGAGAUGUUGGGUUAAGUCCCGCAACGAGCGCAACCCUUGCCUUUAGUUGCCAGCAGUUCGGCUGGGCACUCUAAAGGGACUGCCGGUGUUAAACCGAAGGAAGGUGGGGAGUGACGUCAAGUCCUCAUGGCCUUUAUGACCAGGGCUACACACGUACUACAAUGGCCGAUACAAAGGGCAGCGACACUGCGAGGUCGAGCGAAUCUCAAAAAACCCAUCAUAGUCCGGAUUGCAGUCUGCAACUCGACUGCAUGAAGUUGGAAUCGCUAGUAAUCCCCGGAUCAGCAUGCCGGGGUGAAUACGUUCCCGGGCCUU